GGGGGGCCCCAAAAAAGGCCCCCCCCCUUUUUUUUUGGGCCCCCAAAAAAAAUUUUGGGUUUUUUUUUUUAAAAAAAAAACCCCGGGUUUUUUUUUUCCCAAAAAAAAACCCCCCUUUUUU
This is a non-coding RNA of Cherax quadricarinatus, 121 nucleotides long. Lineage: Eukaryota; Metazoa; Arthropoda; Malacostraca; Decapoda; Parastacidae. The record is from RefSeq and is a predicted model, not a curated record.